AGUUAUUCACGUAGGGUACAGAGGUAAGAUGUUCUAUCUUUCAGACCUUUUACUUCACGUAAUCGGAUUUGGCUGAAUAUUUUAGCCGCCCCAGUCAGUUUAUGACUGGGGCGUUUUUUA
This 120-nucleotide non-coding RNA is filed under the name Salmonella enterica. The record is from RNAcentral. RNAcentral also lists the same sequence under 39 other names. Lineage: Bacteria; Pseudomonadati; Pseudomonadota; Gammaproteobacteria; Enterobacterales; Enterobacteriaceae.